Molecule: long non-coding RNA, 484 nt
Organism: Homarus americanus (American lobster)
Lineage: Eukaryota; Metazoa; Arthropoda; Malacostraca; Decapoda; Nephropidae
Exons: 3
Source: RefSeq, a predicted model, not a curated record
GCCUCACUUGUAAACAUUAAGUCGACCAAAAUGUGUUAAUUAAAAUACAAACUUGGAGGAUUUAAUACUUCACUACGUCACUUUGACGGCUCCAAUACGCUGUUACUGUAGUGUUAAGACAACUACCAUAUUGCAGCCUCGCUGAUCAUGGUUAAUGAAGUUCCUCGUGUCAUUGGUCGAGGACGGUGACGUGAAGAUGUAAGAUAUGGGCCACAAGAUGAAGGUUUGUUUUGGUUAACGGGUCUCAUGCUGCACCACAUUGGAAACUCUCUGCUGUAACAUAAGGUACAGUACAGUGUAUAUCUUUGUGGUUUUAGUUUUUAUGAAGGAUCUGGGAUCACUGUUUAAAAAUUCAAGUAAUUAUGUUAAUGACCUUUGAAAUAAUUAGAUAUUUUAUGUAGAUUACGCUGUGCCCGUAAGUUUUAAAAGGCCUUUAUGGAUGGUCUUAAAUAUGUUGACCAUCUUUACUGUAUGAAGUUAGUUU